AACGAACGCUGGCGGCAUGCCUAACACAUGCAAGUCGAACGAGACCUUCGGGUCUAGUGGCGCACGGGUGCGUAACGCGUGGGAACCUGCCCUUAGGUUCGGAAUAACUCCCCGCAAGGGGUGCUAAUACCGGAUAAUGUCUUCGGACCAAAGAUUUAUCGCCUUUGGAUGGGCCCGCGUUGGAUUAGCUAGUUGGUAGGGUAAAAGCCUACCAAGGCGACGAUCCAUAGCUGGUCUGAGAGGAUGAUCAGCCACACUGGGACUGAGACACGGCCCAGACUCCUACGGGAGGCAGCAGUGGGGAAUAUGGGACAAUGGGCGAAAGCCUGAUCCAGCAAUGCCGCGUGAGUGAUGAAGGCCUUAGGGUUGUAAAGCUCUUUUAACCGGGAUGAUAAUGACAGUACCGGGAGAAUAAGCGCCGGCUAACUACGUG
RNAcentral lists this ribosomal RNA (433 nucleotides) under uncultured bacterium. RNAcentral's name for it is "partial 16S ribosomal RNA". It matches the Rfam family "Bacterial small subunit ribosomal RNA", at positions 29 to 507 of the family's 1533-position model. The record is from RNAcentral.